Molecule: ribosomal RNA, 198 nt
Filed under: uncultured bacterium
Lineage: Bacteria
Description: partial 16S ribosomal RNA
Rfam family: Bacterial small subunit ribosomal RNA
Source: RNAcentral
ACGCUCGACACCUACGGGAGGCAGCAGUGGGGAAUAUUGCACAAUGGGGGAAACCCUGAUGCAGCGACGCCGCGUGAGCGAAGAAGUAUUUCGGUAUGUAAAGCUCUAUCAGCAGGGAAGAAAGUGACGGUACCUGACUAAGAAGCACCGGCUAAAUACGUGCUAGCAGCCGCGGUAAUCUGAGCGGGCUGGCAAGGC